This 586-nucleotide ribosomal RNA is filed under the name uncultured organism. RNAcentral describes it as "bacterial SSU rRNA". It matches the Rfam family "Bacterial small subunit ribosomal RNA", at positions 867 to 1466 of the family's 1533-position model. The record is from RNAcentral.
AUCCACCUGGGGAGUACGUCAGCAAUGAUGAAACUCAAAGGAAUUGACGGGGGCCCGCACAAGCGGAGGAACAUGUGGUUUAAUUCGAUGAUACGCGAGGAACCUUACCUGGGCUUAAAUGUUAAGUGCUAUACCGGGAGACCGGUUUUUCCUUCGGGACACUUUACGAGGUGCUGCAUGGUUGUCGUCAGCUCGUGCCGUGAGGUGUCGGGUUAAGUCCCAUAACGAGCGCAACCCCUAUUGCCAGUUGCCAGCACAUCAUGGUGGGACUCUGGUAAACUGCCGGUGCAAACCGCGAGGAAGGUGGGGAUGACGUCAAAUCAGCACGGCCCUUAUGUCCAGGGGCUACACACGUGUUACAAUGGUCGGUACAACAGGAAGCUAUUCCGCGAGGAACCGCUAAUCCCGAAAGCCGAUCUUAGUUCGGAUCGGAGUCUGCAAUUCGACUCCGUGAAGCUGGAUUCGCUAGUAAUCGCAGAUCAGCCAUGCUGCGGUGAAUAUGUUCCCGGGCAUUGACACACCGCCCGUCAAGCCAUGGAGCACGGGGUGCCUGAAGUCCGUACCGAUAAGGAGCGCACCAGGUAAA